Rosa chinensis is the source of this 1619-nucleotide RNA transcript. RefSeq lists it as uncharacterized. The transcript has 7 exons. The record is from RefSeq and is a predicted model, not a curated record. Lineage: Eukaryota; Viridiplantae; Streptophyta; Magnoliopsida; Rosales; Rosaceae.
UUGGAUCGGAUGGGCAUGGAUCCUCACCCGUGUGAGAUGGAGUUAUGAAUCUGGAGAUGCAGAAUCGAAGACGAAUCAUCGAAGGAAAAGAGUAGGUUCUUCUUUGUUGUUCUUUUCCUCAAUUGUAUUGAUCUGGUUAGAGAAGGCUCUGGUUCAAUCACCAUACAAUCAAGACAAAUGCGUUCAGUGCGAGAAGGAGGAACUAAAAUCUGUUGAAUGCCUCCAACCUGCUUCCCGAUGCUGCAAAGAGAUUGCUGAUUUUGUGACUGCGAAUCCAGAUCCGUUAAUACCAAUAAAUCGAAAGAAACGACAAUCCUGUUGCUUUUGGAAAUGGCUCUGGACCUCUGGAUUUGCGAAAGCUCCUUCGUACCUGCGUUAGCUUCUGGUCUUCUAGUGCUGUUUCUGCAUUUGGAGGAUUUGCUUUAUGUGGUUAAAGCCAAACCCCAUGAUCGCAGGAUGAUGUGUGACUCACCGAUUGUGCAAACUAAGUUGAGCCAAAAUGAUUCUCUCUGUAAAUAUUCUCAUUCUAGCAUCUCAUGUGAUUCUGAAUUUCAGUCAGAGGUUGUGAAAGAUGACUCGUUGUCAAAGGUAAGUACUAGUGCACAUGUUCCAGGCAAAUGCUUUCAAAUUUCUAAAAUGUUCUGUUGGGAACCACGUGAAUUCGAUUGAUCUGGAAAUGAAUGAAUUUGUUCUAUUCAUUUGCAAGUGAAGUAUACUGUUAUUUAAUGAAGAUAUUUCCAGGUUAGUUUAGUAAAUUUAGGACAUGGACGUUCUCUUCUAGGAAUUUGCAUUCCAAAACCGCUCAGAAUUUGUAGAGCUGAAAUCUUUGGAAUUUGAGGAAAUCAUGUGGGUCGUAGCACGUUCUAGGAAAAUCUUUGUUGCUUAUGGAUUAUGCGUAACUUGGUCCAAAAUACUAACUACAUAUGACUUUAUUCUCAUUGUUUGUAGUAUGUUUGGUUUUUCUUUAGUGGUCAAACUACUGUUCCUAAAUUUGGUAUUUUGUUUGAUUUUUGGGUGAGUAAUCUUGAUGAAGGUAUUGAAUGACUUGGAUCCUGCAAUAAAAGUUCAUACCCGACAAGUUCCAGCUUGAACAGGAUGAAAAUCAAGUAUACCUCUACCGUUGCAUCUUUUGCUGUCUCCGAUGAAUUGUUACAACUUCCACUUAAAGGCUGCUGCAGUGUCAUCAGUUUAUCAAGUUCCUCCCUUAUGCUGCAGGCUUCAGCAUCUAUUCUGAGGGCAUAAGGUCAUAAAACCACGAGCAAAAAGAUUAGGCGAAAGGUUGAACAGAGCAUAUACCGCACUCAAAUAUCAAUGCAGACCAUUUAAGAAUCAAAACAUGUAGCUGGAAAUGUCAAGCAUUCAUUAAAAUGAGGUCAAAUAGAGUAUAUCCAAACAAAGUUAUUGAUAUACAAUAUAUUCCAUACUGAAGAACAUAAUAGUUAAACAGAGAAAAAGGCAAACCAAGAAAUUAGAGGUCUGGAAAGAGAAUUGUGAGUUAUUAUACUAAGAAUUGAUAAUCUAAAACACGAAUCAGUUACAUUCCUACUGAUGUCGCUAAAAGCAAGCGCAUAAUUUAACCCUGAAAUAUCGUUAGUAGUAUAAGCAAAUAGGGAUCGUUC